Molecule: ribosomal RNA, 418 nt
Filed under: uncultured bacterium
Lineage: Bacteria
Description: bacterial SSU rRNA
Rfam family: Bacterial small subunit ribosomal RNA
Source: RNAcentral
UGGGGAAUAUUGCACAAUGGGGGAAACCCUGAUGCAGCAACGCCGCGUGAAGGAUGAAGGUUUUCGGAUCGUAAACUUCUAUCAACAGGGACGAAACAAAUGACGGUACCUGAAUAAGAAGCCCCGGCUAACUACGUGCCAGCAGCCGCGGUAAUACGUAGGGGGCAAGCGUUAUCCGGAAUUACUGGGUGUAAAGGGAGCGUAGGCGGCACGUCAAGCCAGAUGUGAAAGCCCGGGGCUUAACCCCGUGGAUUGCAUUUGGAGCUGGCGAGCUAGAGUACAGGAGAGGAAAGCGGAAUUCCUAGUGUAGCGGUGAAAUGCGUAGAUAUUAGGAAGAACACCAGUGGCGAAGGCGGCUUUCUGGACUGAAACUGACGCUGAGGCUCGAAAGCGUGGGGAGCAAACAGGAUUAGAUACC